GUGAGAUUUGGUGGGAGAAUAAUACAGCUAAUUGUGUAUGUGCGAAAGGGUUUGGUGUGAAACAGAGUGACUUGAUCUAGAUGAAUGAAAAGCCGUGUGGGGGAAUUGUGAGACAUCCUUAUUGCUAUGUAGGCUGCAGCAGAGGAUUGAAACAGCUGGUGGAUAGGGCAGCGCUCCAGGAUGUUGGCGUCCACGUGAGUUCCUGAGCUGAAGUCUGCAGAGCACCACCAUGACCCGGAAGGCAUACAGAACUUGGAGUGGAGGGAUCAGGAUUCAGAGCACGUUUCAGCGCUACACCGCAGUAUCUGGCACGUAGAAGGAAUUCAGAAAUACUGAAUGAAGGAGCACCUG
RNAcentral lists this long non-coding RNA (351 nucleotides) under Homo sapiens (human). RNAcentral's name for it is "non-protein coding lnc-DCDC2C-6:1". The record is from RNAcentral. Lineage: Eukaryota; Metazoa; Chordata; Mammalia; Primates; Hominidae.